AUGAAUCUCCUAAGUUGGAACUGCCGGGGAGGGGGGAAUUCCCGGACAGUUCAUGACCUUGCGACGAUUGUUGAGUCGCAUUCCCCCACUUUGGUCUUCCUGUGUGAAACUCGUCAGUCCAAGGGUCGGAUGAAGCGAUAUCGCAUGAGGUUAGGCCUGCAAGGAUUUCAUGGAGUUGACAGUAAUGGUAACAGCGGUGGCCUCUCAUUAUUU
Molecule: ribosomal RNA, 213 nt
Filed under: Triticum aestivum (bread wheat)
Lineage: Eukaryota; Viridiplantae; Streptophyta; Magnoliopsida; Poales; Poaceae
Description: partial small subunit ribosomal RNA
Source: RNAcentral